GCCGAAGUAGCUCAGAUGGCAGAGCGGCGCACUCGUAAUGCGCAGGUCUGGAGUUCGAUUCUCCACUUCGGCU
Molecule: transfer RNA, 73 nt
Filed under: Treponema sp.
Lineage: Bacteria; Pseudomonadati; Spirochaetota; Spirochaetia; Treponematales; Treponemataceae
Description: tRNA-Thr
Rfam family: tRNA
About the family: Transfer RNA (tRNA) molecules are approximately 80 nucleotides in length. Their secondary structure includes four short double-helical elements and three loops (D, anti-codon, and T loops). Further hydrogen bonds mediate the characteristic L-shaped molecular structure. tRNAs have two regions of fundamental functional importance: the anti-codon, which is responsible for specific mRNA codon recognition, and the 3' end, to which the tRNAs corresponding amino acid is attached (by aminoacyl-tRNA synthetases). tRNAs cope with the degeneracy of the genetic code in two manners: having more than one tRNA (with a specific anti-codon) for a particular amino acid; and 'wobble' base-pairing, i.e. permitting non-standard base-pairing at the 3rd anti-codon position.
Source: RNAcentral